This 544-nucleotide ribosomal RNA is filed under the name uncultured bacterium. Its description in RNAcentral is "partial 16S ribosomal RNA". It matches the Rfam family "Bacterial small subunit ribosomal RNA", at positions 355 to 914 of the family's 1533-position model. The record is from RNAcentral.
UGGGGAAUAUUGCACAAUGGGCGAAAGCCUGAUGCAGCAACGCCGCGUGAGUGAUGAAGGCCUUCGGGUUGUAAAGCUCUGUCUUUUGGGACGAUAAUGACGGUACCAAAGGAGGAAGCCACGGCUAACUACGUGCCAGCAGCCGCGGUAAUACGUAGGUGGCAAGCGUUGUCCGGAAUUAUUGGGCGUAAAGAGCGCGUAGGCGGGAUAGUCAGUCUGUUGUAAAAGUGCGGGGCUCAACCCCGUGAUCGCAAUGGAAACAGCUAUUCUUGAGUGCAGGAGAGGAAAGUGGAAUUCCCAGUGUAGCGGUGAAAUGCGUAGAUAUUGGGAGGAACACCAGUGGCGAAGGCGACUUUCUGGACUGUGUCUGACGCUGAGGCGCGAAAAGCCAGGGGAGCGAACGGGAUUAGAUACCCCGGUAGUCCUGGCCGUAAACGAUGGGUACUAGGUGUGGGAGGUAUCGACCCCUUCCGUGCCGGAGUUAACGCAAUAAGUACCCCGCCUGGGGAGUACGGUCGCAAGACUGAAACUCAAAGGAAUUGAC